Molecule: ribosomal RNA, 497 nt
Filed under: uncultured bacterium
Lineage: Bacteria
Description: partial 16S ribosomal RNA
Rfam family: Bacterial small subunit ribosomal RNA
Source: RNAcentral
GAUGAACGCUGGCGGCGUGCCUAAUACAUGCAAGUAGAACGCUGAAGGAAGGAGCUUGCUCUUUCCGGAUGAGUUGCGAACGGGUGAGUAACGCGUAGGUAACCUGCCUGGUAGCGGGGGAUAACUAUUUGAAACGAUAGCUAAUACCGCAUAACAGUAGAUGUUGCAUGAUAUCUACUUAAAAGGUGCAAUUGCACCACUACCAGAUGGACCUGCGUUGUAUUAGCUAGUUGGUGAGGUAACGGCUCACCAAGGCGACGAUACAUAGCCGACCUGAGAGGGUGGUCGGCCACACUGGGACUGAGACCAGGCCCAGACUCCUAAGGGAGGCAGCAGGAGGGAAUCUUCGGAAAUGGACGGAAGUCUGACCGAGCAACGCCGGGGGAGGGAAGAAGGGUGUCGGAUCGUAAAGCUCUGUUGUAAGAGAAGAACGAGUGUGAGAGUGGAAAGUUCACACUGUGACGGUAUCUUAACAGAAAGGGACGGCUAACUACGUG